CCUACGGGAGGCAGCAGUAGGGAAUCUUUCACAAUGGGCGAAAGCCUGAUGGAGCAACGCCGCGUGCAGGAUGAAGGCCUUCGGGUUGUAAACUGCUUUUAUAAGCGAGAAAUAUGAUGGUAACUUAUGAAUAAGGAUCGUCUAAAUACGUGCCAGCAGCCGCGGUCAUACGUAGGAUCCGAGCAUUAUCCGGAGUGACUGGGUGUAAAGAGUUGCGUAGGUGGCAUAAUAAGUAGCUAGUGAAAUCUGGUGGCUCAACCAUUCAUACUAUUAGCUAAACUGUUAAGCUCGAGAACGUUAGGGGUAACUGGAAUUUCUAGUGUAGGAGUGAAAUCCGUAGAUAUUAGAAGGAACACCAAUAGCGUAGGCAGGUUACUGGGACGGUUCUGACACUAAGGCACGAAAGCGUAGGGAGCAAACGGGAUUAGAUACCCCAGUAGUC
Molecule: ribosomal RNA, 442 nt
Filed under: uncultured bacterium
Lineage: Bacteria
Description: partial 16S ribosomal RNA
Rfam family: Bacterial small subunit ribosomal RNA
Source: RNAcentral